Molecule: long non-coding RNA, 524 nt
Filed under: Struthio camelus australis
Lineage: Eukaryota; Metazoa; Chordata; Aves; Struthioniformes; Struthionidae
Description: lncRNA (ENSSCUG00000014609.1)
Source: RNAcentral
CCUGAAUGCAUUAGCUAAACACUGGAAUCUCUCUUUCUUAUGCUGCAGAAGGGCUGCAGAGCUGCUUUGCAAAUACUGCACAGCCCAAAGCACAGAAUGAAUAUUAGUGGGAUCUUAUCCAGCAUUUUUUGCAAGCUUGUGUGUUUACGUUGGCAGGAAAAGGAAAGGAUCUGCCAAGUGAAGGAUUAGCUAGCCCAAGCCUCCCUCUAACCCCAUCCCAGCCCUUCCAGGGAAGUGCUCUGUGCAGGGAACUCUUCUGAAGCAGCUUUUCCACAAGGAGAAAUAUGUCACUUCACACAGCUUCUGGCAUCUCAGCCCUGGAGCAGUAGGAUCCCCCAGGCCCUCCUGUAUGAGGCCAGGAGAUGGGGACAGAAAGAAGGGAAUAUGGCUCGUGGCUCCAGUCAGAUGCUACAAGAACUAAACAUAUGGAUUAUUCCUAGCAGCAGCUUUGUGAACAGUGGCUAAACCUUGGGGAAGAUCAUCUAAGUGGCUUAUCCUUAUUUACCUUUGAUCUCGUGAAGAAU